This 928-nucleotide long non-coding RNA is filed under the name Amphibalanus amphitrite. RNAcentral's name for it is "uncharacterized LOC122378670, transcript variant X9". The record is from RNAcentral. Lineage: Eukaryota; Metazoa; Arthropoda; Thecostraca; Balanomorpha; Balanidae.
UAAAUAAGACGCAAUAUUAUUACACAAUCAUUUGUAUCAUUUGUCACUUUGGUAAGGCACUGAAGCGUCCAAGUAUUAUACAUCCAACAUCCAAGUAAUAUUACAGUGGUUCAGUACCUUGAAUUAAUAUUAUAGGAUUCAGAAGUAUUCACCGGAGAUAGGGAUCAGAAUCUCUUUGUUCGUAUUAUGUUGCUCCAGUUUGCCCAAUCAUUGGAAUUCUGGUGACUGCAGAGUACCUACAGGUCAACUGAGAACAACAAGGUCAUGUCUGAAUACCAGAUGCUGGGAAAGAGUGGGUUGAAACUAAAAGGUGUUGCCGACGUGUCUUUGAAAAAAAAGAAGAAGAAGAAGGACAAGACCAAGAUUCUAGAGACAGUGGUCAAGGCCCCUGUUGAUGCCAGUACUGAGGUGUCAAAGAAACAACAGAAAACCAAAACAAAGGCAGAACUAGCUUUUGAGAAACAGAGGGAGAAAAAUGAAUUGAAGAGGAUCAUGGAGAAGGCAUCAAAGACACACAAGCAGAGAGUGGAAGAUUUCAACAGGCACCUGGACAGCCUCACAGAACACUUUGAUAUCCCCAAAGUCAGCUGGACCAAAUAAGAUGUCUCAUGGGUACUGGAAAACUUCACUUUGUGUUUCUACCAUUCAUUGUCACGUGUUGCAGUCGAAUUGUCGGCUUCCCACAUCGUGCGCCCCUGUGUGCGAGAUGAAUGGUUCGCGAUUCGCGAAUAGUGUAAUGAAUGCUGUGACAUCCACCAUAUGUACUUAUGUAGGGUAGUUCUACGAGAGCUGCGCUUACACGGUUCGUCGCUUCCUAAUCGUACCAAGCUCAUUUUAUUUUGAGCAUGUCAGCUUACGGUAUUGCCCAUCAGCGCGUAAAUCUAGUUAUCGUGGCGAGAAUAAAAUACACCAAAUCUCUGACUACUAA